Long non-coding RNA from Homo sapiens (human), 5318 nucleotides. RefSeq lists it as uncharacterized. The record is from RefSeq and is a predicted model, not a curated record. NCBI's taxonomy places the organism in Eukaryota, Metazoa, Chordata, Mammalia, Primates, Hominidae. The transcript is spliced from 3 exons.
ACACUGGCGGUGAGGAUUUCAACAUAUGCAUUGGGAGGGGAGGGAUGCACACAUUUAGUCCAUUGGCCCUUCUCACAAAAACUACAAUUUGCUUGAAUUAAUGCCAUACUCAAGGCCUAUGUCGCAAGGGAUCUGAGAAUACAGAGGAGGCAAGUCAACAAAAGAAGAGUCAGGGGAAGUAUCACAGAUGAAGAGGCAUCUGAGCUCAGUGUUAUGGAAUGAAGGAAAUCAACACUCAGAGAAAAGGGGAAAGCAUGAAUGCAGUCCCCCACUACCACAAAUCAUGCAGUCGAGUUUCGCACUUUUGGGGAAAUCACAGGGGUCAGCACACCCAGAGUGCAAUGGAUAAACCUCGCCCUGGGAAAACCACCUUCGUGAUCAUGUUAUCUCCCCUGCCAGCUUAUUCAGAUGAUGUGAAUACCGGCUAAUUAUUGCAACGAUGUUUGCUUCCAAGCAUUAAAAAAAUUGCCAGUGUUAUGGGCAAGGACUUCAUGACUACAACACCAAAAGCAAUGGCAAGAAAAGCCAAAAUAGACAAAUGGGAUCUAAGUAAACUAAAGAGCUUCUGCACAGCAAAAGAAACUACCAUCAGAGUGAACAGGCAACCUACAGAAUGGGAGAAAAUUUUUGCAAUCUACCCAUCUGACAAAGGGCUAAUAUCCAGAACCUACAAAGAACUUAAACAAAUUUACAAGAAAAAAUCAAACAACCCCAUCAAAAAGUGGGCGAAGGACAUGAACAGACACUUCUCAAAAGAAGACAUUUAUGCAGCCAACAGACAUAUGAAAAAAUGCUCAUCAUCACUGGCCAUCAGAGAAAUGCAAAUCAAAACCACAGUGAGGUACCAUCUCACACCAGUUAGAAUGGAGAUCGUUAAAAAGUCAGGAAACAACAGGUGCUGGAAAGGAUGUGGAGAAAUAGGAACGCUUUUACACUGUUGGUGGGACUGUAAACUAGUUCAACCAUUGUGGAAGACAGUGUGGCGAUUCCUCAAGGAUCUAGAACUAGAAAUACCAUUUGACCCAGCCAUCCCAUUACCGGGUAUAUACCCAAAGGCUUAUAAAUCAUGCUGCUAUAAAGACACAUGCUCACAUAUGUUUAUUGCGGCACUAUUCACAAUAGCAAAGACUUGGAACCAACCCAAAUGUCCAUCAAUGAUAGACUGGAUUAAGAAAAUGUGGCACACAUACACUAUGGAAUACUAUGCAGUCAUAAAAAAGGAUGAGUUCAUGUCCUUUGUAGGGACAUGGAUGAAGCUGGAAACCAUCAUUUUGAGCAAACUAUCACAAGGACAGAAAACCAAGUAUCACAUAUUCUCACUCGCAGGUGGGAAUUGAACAAUGAGAACACUUGGACACAGGGUGGGGAACAUCACACACCGGGGCCUGUUGCGGGGUGGGGGGAGGGGGGAGGGAUAACAUUAGGAAAAAUACCUAAUGUAAAUGACGAGUUAAUGGGUGCAGCACACAAACAUGGCACAUGUAUACAUAUGUGACAAACCUGCACAUUGUGCACAUGUACCCUAGAACUUAAAGUAUAAUAAAAAAAAAUUGCCAGUGUUUUUUCCCUACUCCCUUGUGCCCUCCCCCAUUAUAAAAAUCAAAUAAAAUAAAACCACAGCCCUUUGCAAUUCACGCCACAUACACUAAUAACAGCCUCAGGCAAGCAGUAUCUGUGGGACUCAUUUAAAUUUUAUUUUCGUGGAAGAAUAAAGGAAAAUUCAACACCAAAUCUUUAAGACACACCACUUAAUGAUUUUGGUGAACAGUCUGAAAUAGACAGUUAUUGGAGCCUUUGAUUAAGACAAUACAAUGUCUACAAUGACCUAUCAAGCAGGUGUCCAUACCCUGUAAGAACCUUGUCCACACUUCAGCCUCUGAUGAAGCAUGUAUGGGUACACCUUGUGUGUGACAGCCCCAAUAGCUGGAAUGGUGUGGGAUCCCAAUGAAGGACACCCAGCCUUGGCAUGGCAAUCUACCUAUGACUUUGUGGCUUGGCUGAAAGAUUUCAGCUGGGUCAAGCAGAAGAUCUCUUUCAAGACUCUAAACCAAGAAAUACAGGAGGGUCUUGCCAACUAACUAUGGGAACUAAACCAAGAGAGCAGUGAAUUCUCGGGGAGCACCAUGAGAAGCCAUGAUGGGCUACUGCCAAACUGAAGUGAUGUGGGGAACAGAAGGUGUAAUGGAGUGGGGAAAAGCCAGUCCAUCACAAGUGGGGAAUAGUGCAGAGAUGCAGAAAGAAACAGCCUAUCACCAGCAGGAAGGACUGGACAAAGAAACUGACCCUUAGCCUAAAGAAGCCAGGGUACCAACUGUAUAGUCCAGCCCAGCCCAGCUUGGGGAACAGUCACUAUAGGUCCUCUCCUUCUGCUGCCACCCACACCUCAUAAAUGAGUUAAACUAUAGCACAUAAUCAUCCUUAAAUGGUGGCAAUAAACACUUCUGCAUUUCAUUGUCAAUGGAUGCAUAAUAGAUGCAAAAUACUUCCAAGGUUAACUAAAUGAAUUAUUGUAGAUGUCUAAAGUGAGGGUGAACUCUGUUUUUUCUUUUAAAAUGAUCCAUCUGUUUAUCAAGGCAAUAAGUUUUUAAGUUAAUUAAGUACGGAGCAGAAAGUCCUCCAAGCAGACACUUUUAAUUAAUUCUUAAUUAUGAAUGCCCACGUAUGUCCUCCAAGUGGCCAAAAAUAUUCAGUGUGGGGCGACAAAGGAAAAAACGCACUGAAAAGAGAACAGACACCACUCCUGGUUUUGAUACUUUUUAGGUUAAAUUUACCAAAUGUUAUAAACAGCUUUAAAAAUACUUACCUUUAGGGUGGUUUUCAAAACAGUGCAAACAUACACAAAUCACAACACACUUCUUAAUUUGUUCCUCUUUGUUGUCACGUGUUGCUAAGAGACUGUCUUUUUCAGGGCUCAAAUACACAGAUUUUUUCCAAAUUUAGAAAAUAGGCAUACUUGCAAAGAAGCCUCAAAAAGGCAGCCAGUUAGAGGUAGAAAUUUAUUUGGUAAUUACCAACCCACAUUUCUCCAAACAACUUCCUGAAACAUAUUACUGAAUGCCUGUAUGACUCAUGGAAACUUCAAAAUUGAUCAUCUCUGGCUCUGUGGCAAUCUGCUUUCUUAAUUUACAUACAUUAAAGUUUGUGUACCCUCUACUCCUUACUGAAGGAAAACAGGAAAGUCAACCUUCCACUGAAAGAGAAGCAGCCGUCCACUGGGUUCAGACACUGGGAAGGCCACUGAAAGGCUCGUGUACAUCAAGAUUUCUCAUGAGUGGUUAGGGGAUGUUGAUCACUCUUAGGGAUAAACUGUAAUCAAAGAUCAGUAUGUGAAGCCGGGAACAAUAGCAUAUAUUAACAGUAAUACGUGUUAUUACAGUCAUAUUCUAGUUCCUUAAUUUAUACAGUAUGUUAUUAAACAGAUAUAUCAUAGCAUAAUGGUAUCACAAAAGACUACUUUUUCCCUUAAAACUCCUAGGUGCACUUUUGUAUGUAUUUUUUUAUUAGCUAUCUGACAGCCUGGGGAAAGACACAAAAAGGCGAUAGGUGCCCAUGACAACUGGUGAUCAAAAAGCCCAACAAAAGCUGGGCGUGGUGGCUCACACCUGUAAUACCAGACACUUGGGAGGCCAAGGUGGGAGGACCACUUGAGGCCAGGAGUUUGAGAUCAGCCUAGGCAACACAGAGAGACCCCCAUCCCUAAAAACACUAAAAAAAAUUAAAAAUUUAAACUCAAUAUAACUGAAACUAGAUGGUAAAUCAAUGAGGAAAUGGCUAAGUUUACAAAAGUCUGACUGACAAACCUCAGAGACGCACCCCUCUCUUUAAAAAGGAUGCACUUUGACAUUUUAAAAUAUCUAUGUGCAUAGUUAUUAAAGAGCUUUUAUAUGGGCCCCUUAACUAACAGCAGAGAACCGCAGGGACAGGCCAGCUUUGCUGAGACAGAUACACAGGCUUUAUUUGUUUGCAAAGAAACACAACUGAACUCAACUGUAAAGACAACAAAGCUCAAACAGCCUCAGUCCUCACUAGGGUUUCAUGCCAGCCCAACCCCAUACGUUUGUAAAGCAUUACAGUAACUUUGGAGAGUAGGACUAAAGUAGUCUAGGCUUGCAACAGGCAAUGUUUAUGUUCACUCCAAAUUGAUAUGUUGAAAUCCUAACCUCCAAUGCAAUGGUAUUACGAAGGUGAGGUGAGGGUGGUGCCCUCACAAAUGGGGUUACUGCCCUCAUAAAAGAGACCCUAGAGAGCUCCUUCACCCUCUUUCAGCCAUGUAGGACACAAUAGGAAGUCUGCAGUUUACAACCUGGGAGAAGGCCCAUGCCAGCACCCUGAUCACAGACUGUCAGCCUCCAAUACUGUGAGAAAUUUCUGUUGUUUAUAAGCACCCAGUCUGUGAUAUUUUGUUAUACCAGCUCAAAUGGACUAACACCGAGCUGUAGUCUCAGUUCUGCCACUCAGGCAAGCCAUUUAGUUUCUCUGAAUACUGACUUCCUCGUUUGGAUAAGAAGGAAAGGACUCAUUGUUCAAUUCCCACCUAUGAGUGAGAACAUGCGGUGUUUGGUUUUCUGUCCUUGUGAUAGUUUGCUGAGAAUGAUCGUUUCCAGCUUCAUCCAUGUCCCUACAAAGGACAUGAACCCUUGGACACAGGAAGGGGGACCUCACACACAGGGGCCUGUUGUGGGGUGGGGUAGGGGGGAGGGAUAGUAUUAGGAGAUAUACCUAAUGUAAAUGAUGAGUUAAUGGGUGCAGCACACCGACAUGGCACAUGUAUACAUAUGUAACAAACCUGCACAUUGUGCACAUGUACCCUAGAACUUAAAAUGUAAUAAUAAUAAUAAUAAUAAUAAAGAAAGAAGGGAAGAAGAAAUGGGAAUUUGCUUACCAGUAGUUAAAAAAAAAAAAAAGGAAAGGACUACGUGGAAACGAAUGCGGGUGGAGGAGGUACUAAUAUCUUCUGAGCAUCUCCUACAGGCCAACAUUGUCCUUAUACCAUCUAACCUAAUCCACAUACUAAUUCCUGAUUUUACAAAAAGGGAAGCCAGGCCAGGGGAGGAAACUGCUCAGUGUCACAGGGGACAUAGUACAGAUAGGACUUAAGCCCCGGUGUCUGGUUUCAAGGCUAUACCCAAUUGCUAUGCUGACCUUACACAUUCUGUUUCCAGAGUUCAAGGACUAAUUUGAGCAUGCCUUUCUCAAUGCCCCUACAUAUUUCUAUUUCCAUGUGCUAUGAUAUAAUUUCCGAGUCACAUCUGAGAUCUCACCCUCUCUAAACUCUCUGGUCUUUCCCCCUUACUGCCACCACCACUUAAACCCAGACA